Molecule: long non-coding RNA, 560 nt
Organism: Cyprinus carpio (common carp)
Lineage: Eukaryota; Metazoa; Chordata; Actinopteri; Cypriniformes; Cyprinidae
Exons: 3
Source: RefSeq, a predicted model, not a curated record
CCAUAAUGAGCCAUCUAAGAUUUAGAAACUAUAUAACUGGAGAUUAAACUUUUUUUGUACUCUAUCAUGAACUAUUGCAAUAGGUUGAUAAUUUUUUUCAGUCCAGAAAGUGUCUGAAAAAGCUCUGACAUUGACUUAUGUGUUUAAAUGAACUUAUUUAAUUGUUACCUAGACAUUAUGAUUAUUAACCAGCAUCACGUCAGAAUACAACUCCUGCUUGUAUUUCAGCUUCUGUUUAUUGAUUAGUUCUCAUGUAAUUUUCUACCUUAAAUAUAAUGUAUUUUCAUUAAUUCUGUUGUUUUAAUAUAAUUGUGUUUGUUCAUUUACAGCUUGACUGCAUUUAGGAAAUCUCUCAGACGCAUGGUUUUCAACCCUGGUGUGUCAUCAAGGAUAAACAAACCAAAACAUUGAGAUGAGGCGUGAAGCUGUUAUCCGGAGCCUCAUACUGUACCUUGGCGAGAAAGAAGAGGAACUGUUUGAAGAUUGCCAGGAGGACAACCACAGUGACACAGCGCAACACACCCCUCAAGAUUCUGGUUGUACAUGGAGCUGAUGGAAAG